GCAAUAGCUCCAUUAAUGUUUCAUGUUCUCUGAAAAUUGACUGCUUCUCGAUUGUUCUUCAGCAUCUUCUUCUCUUUCAAUCUUCUCCUCACUUCUUUCUUUCGACCUUUCUACUUUGGGUAUUACAAAUUCAGGUUAGUGUCUCUUCUAUUUUUGAUUUUAUUUGUUUUUUCUAUUUUAUUUUUCAUAUUUUGUCUGCGAUUCUCCUUUGUUGUUGCUGCUCUUUAUUUUCGGUUUUUUUGUAUUCCCUUUGUUUGUCUUUAUAUUUCAUGCCAUUUGUUUUCAUAUGCAGGAUAUCUACUAAUAUACUUUCUGCUUUAAGUUGUGGUCUAAGCAAUUGGCUUAAGAUUUCAGUUAAAUUUGAUUUUUGUUUCCUUUUUGUUUGGUCUUCUCAACUCAAAUUUCACUUUACUCUUUUCUAAAGACUUGUUCUUUAGAAGAAUAUUCCGUGAAUAGCUGCAGAGAUAUCGAAUACGAAUAAAAAGCAUAAAAAUAAGCAAAUAUUGGAAGAAAUAUAAUUUGACAAAAGGGUUAGGAAACGUGAAUUAAAUAGACUGAUCACUGAUGCCACCUGAAAAAAGAGGCCCUUUAGCAUGAGAUGAGGAAGCAGAAUUGAAUUGAAAAUACGACGUCUUUCUGAUAGUUCAAUUAACGUUGAAUAAUCUAAUGCUUCGUGCUCUGAUUCUGCCAAUGUUUAUAUCAAUCAGAGCUCUCUUAUCAUAAGAAAUUCAUCGCUUCUCGCAAACAGGUUAACAUCAAGCACAAAACAUAAACUGCAUACUAAAGAGUCAGAGAUAAUAAUAAAUCAAGAUUGUUUAAAAAUAUUCUAUUAGGAACAAUAGUAUUUACCUCUUUUUCAAGUUAAUAUUUUCUUGUAUCAAAGUUCUAAUAUUUUGGGUGUGAUUUCAGAGAAUUUAGUUGCUCGAGUAUUGUCUUUGUUUCACUUUUAUAGUAGAUUUAGUGGUUUGUUUUUUCUCCCCUGCUACAUUGCCUCAUCUUUUUUUACUGUGAUAAGUUGUUUCUCUUUACAUAUGUUGAAAAUUAGUACCUGACUGUUCUUUUUUGUUUCCCGUUUAUAGGUUCUACCUGGAAGGGUUUUAGUUGUGUUACUCGGUCUCUGAAGACAAGGGAAGACUUAAAGUUGUCAAUGAAUACGAAAGGUUGAAUUUGUCUCUAGAAAUACCUUUGAAUUGUUUGUGCUCGAACCUAAUAAGGAGCCACAAGAUGAUGAUUAGGAAAGAAGAUGAUCGACCUAUUAAAAGAAUUUAUAAUACCACCUGAAAAUGGCCUUCCAUGGCGGCCUUUAAAAUCUUGAUCAGUUACAUCUUCUUUAGUUAACUCUUUUGUUACAUAAAAUUAACUUUGACGUGCACCUCUACAUUUGUCCAACUGAAUUUUUUAAAUUAUUUGCAAUAAUCAAUACCAGAGAAGUUUGAAAUAUAAUAGGCAUCCUAGCUUCAACACACAUAAUGUCAUUAUUCAUUAUGUGUAAUAAUUUGGCUGAUGGUACAUUUGAAAACAGAGAAGUAUUUGUUUGAUAACAAGAGGUGUAAUUAUAUUUCAUCAAAAGUAGUUAGGAUUUAUAUAUUAUUAUUCUUUAUCUAUUUUUUCUUCCGUUAGAGUUGAAAACUUUGUAGAAGGUUGAUAACUUUUUUAUUAUGAAGUUAAAAUUGCAAUGGCCUAAAUAGGAUAGAGGGUGUCAAGCUGAUUCUGAAAUUUGCCUAAGAAGAACAUUGUGAUAACGAUAAUAUCACGACAACUUAUUUUGAUAGUUUUUUCUUUCACUUAGUUAUGUGGAGAUAUUAUUUGAACCAAAUCCUGAAUUUUUUGUUUAUUAAAAUUUUCUCUUCAACAAUUAGAUUCCUUUGUUCAUAGGCAGAGUUACAACCAUAUAUGGUAAUUAAGGACAAUGCCUUGAAAAAAGGUAUGUCAAUUACCAAUAAAACUUACAAUGAUGAAUGAUCUAUCGUAGUUACAUUAAAUUCUUAAAUUAUUCAAUCUCUUUCAUAACCUGGAGUCUUCCAACAAUUGUGAAAGCCAAAUAGGAGCUUUCUACAAACAACUCCGGGAAAGCUAUGAAAAAUUUAACAAAUUUCACAGCAAUUUAUUUUCAGGGACUAGUGUACCUACAAACACAUUAUUUUUUGUGGUUAAUGUCUGAUUUUUCAGGUAGUAAGAUAUCAUUUCUAGACUGAACAACAUGAUUUAAAAGGGUAGGUAGGCAGUAAUAUUGUCAAAUUAAUUAAUACAUUAUGUUAUACGGGUUUUGAAACUUGAUCUUUUUUCAUAAUUUUAUAUAUAUCAAUAUCUUUUGUUAAUAAGUAAAUAGAACUCCGAUGUAAAAAUUGUACAACUUUCGAAGUAGAGUGCAUCAUUUUUGUUAAUAUGUAAAUAGUACUCUCAUGUAUGUUAAAACUAUACAAACUUUUCAAUGAUGCCUCUUAUCUUUUUCGCAAUUUCUUAUAAUAACAAAGUUAAUUGUGAAUGAUGAUUUCAAAUUUUACAGUAUUGGGUGAUAUUAUCUAUGGAGCAAGAUGAGUCCAAGGCGAUGGCUAAUGGUCGAGGGACUAAGACGAGGACUGGCAAUUAAAAACAUGAAUAAGCAAUACUUCUUUAGUACUGUCCAUAAACUAAUAAACUACGACAAGUCAGUAUAUUGAUAAUUAAUUAGCAAUGGUUCGCUACAUAUAUAUUGGUAUGCUAUACAUAAAAGGACUUCAUACCACAGACAUUGUCAAUUUUCUAUGUUAGUCUCCCAUUUCCUAAUAGCAUCAAGUCUAAAGAAGGUUUGUGUAAUAGUUUUAUGACGUGGAUUUUAGAAGUAAAACAACUCAUGUAAAGCGAAAAAUGUAAAAAUGACACAACUUAGGUAUCCUAAAUUUCAAUCAUUACAAAUGUUACGCCGCGUUAG
Molecule: long non-coding RNA, 2911 nt
Filed under: Nicotiana tabacum (common tobacco)
Lineage: Eukaryota; Viridiplantae; Streptophyta; Magnoliopsida; Solanales; Solanaceae
Description: long non-coding RNA (NTAB_LNC017676)
Source: RNAcentral